RNAcentral lists this ribosomal RNA (626 nucleotides) under uncultured fungus. RNAcentral's name for it is "eukaryotic LSU rRNA". It matches the Rfam family "Eukaryotic large subunit ribosomal RNA", at positions 40 to 647 of the family's 3401-position model. Lineage: Eukaryota; Fungi. The record is from RNAcentral.
AUAUCAAUAAGCGGAGGAAAAGAAACUAACAAGGAUUCCCCUAGUAGCGGCGAGUGAAGAGGGAAAAGCUCAAAUUUUGAAUCUGACAUCUUUGGUGUCCGAGUUGUAAUCUAGAGAAGUGUUUUCCGUGCUGGACCGUACAAAAGUCUCCUGGAACGGGGCGUCAUAGAGGGUGAGAAUCCCGUAUAUGGUAUGGACUCCCGGUGCUCUGUGAUACACUCUCAACGAGUCGAGUUGUUUGGGAAUGCAGCUCAAAAUGGGUGGUAAAUUCCAUCUAAAGCUAAAUAUUGGCGAGAGACCGAUAGCGAACAAGUACCGUGAGGGAAAGAUGAAAAGCACUUUGGAAAGAGAGUGAAACAGUACGUGAAAUUGUUGAAAGGGAAGCGUUUGAGGUCAGUCGCAUCUGGUGGGACUCAGCCUGGCUUCUGCCUGGUGUACUUUUCAUUAGAUGGGCCAACGUCAGUUUCGACUGGAGGAGAAAGGCAGGGGAAAGGUAGCUGUCUUCGGGCAGUGUUAUAGUCCCUUGUUGUAUACUUCAGUUGGGACUGAGGAACGCAGCACGCCUUUUGGCCGGGGUUCGCGCCCUCGGUACGUGCUUAGGAUGUUGGCAUAAUGGCCUUAAGCGA